GGGCUUGUGGUUUAGUGGUAUAAUACUCCCUUAGCAUCUGCGUGUCUUUCGAGACGUCCGCGACGGUUUGGGAGUGGUCCGGGGUUCGAUUCCCCGCGAGUCCA
Xylaria nigripes is the source of this 104-nucleotide non-coding RNA. The record is from the annotation of a GenBank genome assembly. Lineage: Eukaryota; Fungi; Ascomycota; Sordariomycetes; Xylariales; Xylariaceae.